Molecule: ribosomal RNA, 440 nt
Filed under: uncultured bacterium
Lineage: Bacteria
Description: partial 16S ribosomal RNA
Rfam family: Bacterial small subunit ribosomal RNA
Source: RNAcentral
CCUACGGGGUGCAGCAGUGGGGAAUAUUGCACAAUGGGGGAAACCCUGAUGCAGCGACGCCGCGUGAGUGAAGAAGUAUUUCGGUAUGUAAAGCUCUAUCAGCAGGGAAGAAAAUGACGGUACCUGACUAAGAAGCCCCGGCUAACUACGUGCCAGCAGCCGCGGUAAUACGAAGGGGGCAAGCGUUAUCCGGAUUUACUGGGUGUAAAGGGAACGUAGACGGCAGAGCAAGUCUGAAGUGAAAGCCCGCGGCUCAACUGGGGUACUGCUUUGGAAACUGGCCGGAUAGAGUGCAGGAGAGGUAAGCGGAAUUCCUAGUGUAGCGGUGAAAUGCGUAGAUAUUAGGAGGAACACCAGUGGCGAAGGCGGCUUACUGGACAGUAACUGACGUUGAGGCUCGAAAGCGUGGGGAGCAAACAGGAUUAGAUACCCGAGUAGUC